CAGAAUUCAUUCACUCAUAAACAUUUAUUGAGCACCUACUAUGAACCAAGCACUGCCCCAGGGACUAAGAACGCUGUAAUGAAUGAGACAAUGCUACCAUUAUAGAGCUUACAUUCUAAUGAUGGAGACAAACAAUGAACAGGCUCAAGAUGUCUCUUACACAUCUGAAUGGAGAUGUUGCAUCAGAAGCUGGAUACAAAAGUUUGAAUUUGCUCAUGCUUCGGAAUACAGAUUUGAUGGUGAUAAACAUAUUGGUGCUACUGAAAGCCUUGAAGCUGGAUGUGAUCAUCUGAGGACUGAAAGUAGAAAAAGAAAAGAGGCACAAGAACUGAAGUGUUAUAAUAUUUAGAGGCUAAAAGGAGAAAGAGGAUAGAGUAAAAUAAUCUGAAAAAGUCUACCAAUAAGGAAGGUGGAAAAUUAGGAAAUGUGGUAUUCUAAUAGGAACCAAUUCCAAGUGAAACAAGUAUUUCAGAAAGGUGGAAGGGAUCAAAUUUAUGAAAUGCUCCUAGAGAAAUAAAAGGCUUAUGGAAGAUUGGAAGAUCAAAUGAGGUUUACUGCUGUUCUGGACCACAAAAAAGGAUACUGAAGUUGGUCCAUGGCCUGCUGGUUGAUGGUUCCCAUGCUAUUGUACACGAAGGUGCUGCUCAGGAGGAUGGCCAAGGCAAAGAUCCAGGAAUCAUUCUCAUUGUCACCCUGUAAGUCAUUGUAGAAGCCACACAGAAGAAUGACUAGCAGAAUGUACAAUCAAUUCAGAUAGCUGAAGACUGACUGAACUCCAACUCUGUCUCUCAUUAGUUGUGAAAACUUAGGUAACUCACUUCCUUAUGCAGUAUUUUUUUUCUACCUGUAGAACAAAUUUAUAAUAUUUAUGAUGUAUAAUUUAAGGUGUUAUAUAUAAAUAUAUGUCAGCAGGAAACAUAUGAGCACUUGGUAGCAGAAGCUAUUUUGAUCAGCUACUAAAAUUCAAACUGGUAUCCUAAACUUAGUUUAUAACCCUAUUCCAUUUCCAUGGCACAUCAUAGUAAGAUGUUUUUUACACAGUAGUUAAAAUAAGCUCCUUUAAUAAAAGCUUUCUAUGUCUAAGAUUUAUAAGAGUAGUAAUAUAUUAUCCUUAAUGAGCAAAGAUGUUAUCAUUAGAUUUUACACUUUGCUUCUCUUUCUACUGGUGCUGCUGUGGAUGUGAAUGUUUUUACUACCUUUGUGGGAUCCCACUGUAAAAAGUCAGACAUGUUUGUAAAAUGUCUACUGAAGUUUAUAAGCGCCUUCAGCAGCCUCACCAAAACAUUUUACUAUAAUAUGAAAGAAAAAUAACUGAAAAUAUCAUUAGCCAUUAUUUCAUAGGUUUGCCCAUAAUUAAUCAAUUGAACUUGUUGUGCACUCUGAAUGCUUAUACCACAC
Molecule: long non-coding RNA, 1398 nt
Organism: Pongo pygmaeus (Bornean orangutan)
Lineage: Eukaryota; Metazoa; Chordata; Mammalia; Primates; Hominidae
Exons: 3
Source: RefSeq, a predicted model, not a curated record